Molecule: ribosomal RNA, 465 nt
Filed under: Vreelandella stevensii
Lineage: Bacteria; Pseudomonadati; Pseudomonadota; Gammaproteobacteria; Oceanospirillales; Halomonadaceae
Description: partial 16S ribosomal RNA
Rfam family: Bacterial small subunit ribosomal RNA
Source: RNAcentral
CCUACGGUGGGCUGCAGUGGGGAAUAUUGGACAAUGGGCGAAAGCCUGAUCCAGCCAUGCCGCGUGUGUGAAGAAGGCCUUCGGGUUGUAAAGCACUUUCAGUGGGGAAGAAAGCCUUGGGGCUAAUACCCUCGAGGAAGGACAUCACCCACAGAAGAAGCACCGGCUAACUCCGUGCCAGCAGCCGCGGUAAUACGGAGGGUGCGAGCGUUAAUCGGAAUUACUGGGCGUAAAGCGCGCGUAGGCGGUCUGAUAAGCCGGUUGUGAAAGCCCCGGGCUCAACCUGGGAACGGCAUCCGGAACUGUGAGGCUAGAGUGCAGGAGAGGAAGGUAGAAUUCCCGGUGUAGCGGUGAAAUGCGUAGAGAUCGGGAGGAAUACCAGUGGCGAAGGCGGCCUUCUGGACUGACACUGACGCUGAGGUGCGAAAGCGUGGGUAGCAAACAGGAUUAGAUACCCUGGUAGUC